GACGAACGCUGGCGGCGUGCUUAACACAUGCAAGUCGAACGGAAAGGCCUGCUUUCCCUUGUGGAUUGCGGGUACUCGAGUGGCGAACGGGUGAGUAACACGUGAGUGAUCUGCCCCCAACUUGGGUAUAAGCCUGGGAAACUGGGUCUAAUUCCCGAUAGGACUGCAGGGUGGUGCCUGUGGUGGAAAACGAUUUUCUAGUGGUUGGGGAUGAGCUCGCGGCCUAUCAGCUUGUUGGUGGGGUAAUGGCCUACCAAGGCGGCGACGGGUAGCCGGCCUGAGAGGGUGGACGGCCACAGUGGGACUGAGAUACGGCCCAGACUCCUACGGGAGGCAGCAGUGGGGAAUAUCGCACAAUGGGCGGAAGCCUGAUGCAGCGACGCCGCGUGGGGGAUGACGGCCUUCGGGUUGUAAACUCCUUUCGACCGCGAGGAAGCCACCUGGUUGGAAGGGUGGUGACGGUAGUGGUAGAAGAAGCACCGGCUAACUACGUG
This 494-nucleotide ribosomal RNA is filed under the name uncultured bacterium. RNAcentral describes it as "partial 16S ribosomal RNA". It matches the Rfam family "Bacterial small subunit ribosomal RNA", at positions 28 to 507 of the family's 1533-position model. The record is from RNAcentral.